UGCAGGUUAAGAUCCUCCCUGGUAAGCGACAUUGCUGUGUCGGAUGUCAUUCAAGAGCUGGUCUCUGGGAGUGAUUUCCACCAGCGGGGGUGGCCUAUUUCUCGGCACCGGCUUGAGCGUUUUGAUGACAUCUUUGAGGCGACUUCCUGAGCAGUGAGAGGUCGUCCGGAUGAAGGCUGGAAGAACUCCUGCAUUCUGGGAUCGGGCAUGGGUCCCCCCAACCUCUCCCACAUCCCAGGGGGCAGCCCCAACCCGUUCUCCAGCAUAGCUAUCAGCUUUCUCUGCUCUCUAAGUUGCUGCUGUUGCUGCUCCUCUUGUCUCUUCUGCCUCCGUUUAUCCUGGUUCCUGCAGGGGGAGCCCAAUCAUCCAGCUGUUUAAUGUACACCAGGGAAGAAACAAAGACCCUGGUCCUGCAGCUCUCCUAAAAUGGGUAUUCAGGAGCGAUUGUCUUGGAACCCACGGACCUGCACUUGUAAGAAAGUCUGCAAAUGACACGUCACAAAUCUUCGUCCCCAUUCCCAGUUGAAAGAUGACCUCCAGUGUGAAACCUGAUGAGGAUCUGCUUGUUGAUCUGCAAAACAGAAGUCGUGAUGGUACCUACCUCACCACAAACCACGAGGAUGAAACGGAGCAUGGCAAGCUGAAGCUGACCUCAGGCGGACCUACGGCAGCUCUUACUUUUGUUGUGUUUAUUAGUAAAAUGACUCCCACAUCA
This is a long non-coding RNA of Alexandromys fortis (reed vole), 715 nucleotides long. RefSeq lists it as uncharacterized. The record is from RefSeq and is a predicted model, not a curated record. Lineage: Eukaryota; Metazoa; Chordata; Mammalia; Rodentia; Cricetidae. The transcript is spliced from 5 exons.